UACGGAGGUGGCUAGCUUUGCUCGGAAUUACUGGGCGUAAAGCGCACGUAGGCGGAUUUGUAAGUCAGGGGUGAAAUCCCGGGGCUCAACCUCGGAACUGCCUUUGAUACUGCAAAUCUCGAGUCCGGAAGAGGUGAGUGGAAUUCCUAGUGUAGAGGUGAAAUUCGUAGAUAUUAGGAAGAACACCAGUGGCGAAGGCGGCUCACUGGUCCGGUACUGACGCUGAGGUGCGAAAGCGUGGGGAGCAAACAGG
RNAcentral lists this ribosomal RNA (253 nucleotides) under uncultured bacterium. RNAcentral's name for it is "partial 16S ribosomal RNA". It matches the Rfam family "Bacterial small subunit ribosomal RNA", at positions 524 to 776 of the family's 1533-position model. The record is from RNAcentral.